RNAcentral lists this ribosomal RNA (857 nucleotides) under uncultured archaeon. Its description in RNAcentral is "bacterial SSU rRNA". It matches the Rfam family "Archaeal small subunit ribosomal RNA", at positions 69 to 874 of the family's 1478-position model. The record is from RNAcentral.
CUUCGACGGACGGUGUACGGCUCAGUAACAAGUAGCCAAUCUGCCCUAAGGACGGGAGCAACCUCGGGAAACUGAGGUCAAUUCCCGAUGCUUCAUCUAUGCUGGAAUGCUUGAUGAGGAAAAUGCGCGGUAAAUUGCAGCCGUUGCGCCUUAGGAUGAGACUGCUCCUGAUUAGGUAGUUGGUGAGGUAACGGCUCACCCAAGCCGAUAAUCAGUAGGGGCAAUGGGAGUUGGCGCCCCCGAGAAGGGCACUGAGACAAGGGCCCUAGUCCUACGGGAUGCAGCAGGCGCGAAACCUUUACAAUGCGCGAAAGCGUGAUAAGGGAAUUCUGAGUGGCAGCCGGCUUUUAGCCGACUGUCUUUUGGCGAACCUAAACCGUUCGCAGAAUAAGUUCUGGGUAGGACCAGUGCCAGCCGCCAUGUGCAUUUGCAUAAUGCGCACGGUACGCGGUAAUACUGGCAGAACGAGUGGUGCCCACGAAUAUUGGGUCUAAAGAGACCGUAGCUGGUUUGUUAAGUCCACUGUGAAAUCUUGGGGCUCAACCUCAAGGCGUGCAGUGGAUACUGGCAGACUUGAGAGCGGGGGAGGUCAGGGGUACUUACGGGGUAUGAGUAAAAUCAGUUGAUCCUGUAAGGACCACCAGUGGCGAAGGCGCCUGACCAAAACGCGUCUGACAGUGAGGGUCGAAGGCUAGGAGAACGAAUCGGAUUAGAUACCCGAGUAGCCCUAGCAGUAAAUUAUGCAGACUGUGGUGUUGCCAUGGCUUCGGGCCAUGGCAGUGCUGUAGCGUAGGUGUUAAGCCUGCCACCUGGGGAGUACGGCCGCAAGGUUGAAACUUAAAGGGAAUUGGCGGGGG